ACUCUCUCUAGCUCAGUCGGUAGAGUGUGAGACUCUUAAUCUCAGGGUUGUGGGUUCAAGCCCUAUGUUGGGCA
Non-coding RNA from Podarcis lilfordi (Lilford's wall lizard), 74 nucleotides. NCBI's taxonomy places the organism in Eukaryota, Metazoa, Chordata, Lepidosauria, Squamata, Lacertidae. The record is from the annotation of a GenBank genome assembly.